Molecule: long non-coding RNA, 898 nt
Filed under: Phascolarctos cinereus (koala)
Lineage: Eukaryota; Metazoa; Chordata; Mammalia; Diprotodontia; Phascolarctidae
Description: lncRNA (ENSPCIG00000036799.1)
Source: RNAcentral
AUGGGGGAGGGGGGUAGGCGGUUGGGCCGGGAGGGGGCGUGCGGUUGGGAGGGUGGCGCGGGCCCGGGCGGGAGAGGAGGGAGGGAGAGGGAGGGAGCAAAAAGGGAAGGAGGAGAAAGGGGGGGAGGGAAAGCGGGAGUGGUUGAAGCCGGCGGCGGCGGCGGCCGAGCUGGGUCAGUUCUCUUUAGUGUUUGCCAAUGUUGGAGGUGUCUCCAAACUAUCUCCGGGAAGAAGGGGCGUGGGGCUGGUGUGGAGACCAGAGCUGACUGGGAGGCUUCAAGAGCAGGGCAGUGGGGAGCCAGGGCACAGGGGGAAGAAAGGACCCCUGCGGAGAGGUUGGAAGCCCUGCCAGGAAGAAUGAAAUCAAGAUACAGUUGGCCACCAUUGACUUUGCCGGGGCAAUAAAAGAGUUGAGUAAGCUGACGAAGACCUGUUUCAGAAUGAGCAGUUUUAGAGAAGGGAGUUAGUAUGUCAUCUCCGAAAAGGAAGGUUGGAGCUGCACCGAGUUACAGAAUGAACUGGUGGCAAGUCGAGAAACUUGAGUGAGGAAGGAGCAAAGAAUGACUUCCAGUUGGGGUAGGGGGGUUAAGGGAUUUUAGUAAUAUGAGUGGUCCCUCCUCAUAUUACAGAGCUCUUUGGAUCCAGUAGAAGAUAGAGAUGGAUCUUAUUACCUUCUUCAGUCAUGGUUGAAAACUUCAUUAUUCAUUAAUUGUGUUCAAAAUUGUAGUAAACUCUUAUUGAGUGAUUUUGCUGAUUCCUCAUAAGUUUCAAGAUAGGAUGUAUGCCUAAUAUGUAUUUGUGGUGGGAGGAGUAAUAUUAAUCUACUAGGGAAAAAUAUUCCAUUACAUUUUUAGAUUUUUAUACUCUUCAAAUAAAGAACUAUGAAUCCUAAGUUUCA